This 253-nucleotide ribosomal RNA is filed under the name uncultured bacterium. RNAcentral's name for it is "partial 16S ribosomal RNA". It matches the Rfam family "Bacterial small subunit ribosomal RNA", at positions 524 to 776 of the family's 1533-position model. The record is from RNAcentral.
UACGAAGGGUGCAAGCGUUACUCGGGAUUACUGGGCGUAAAGCGUGCGUAGGUGGUUUGUUAAGUCUGAUGUGAAAGCCCUGGGCUCAACCUGGGAAUGGCAUUGGAUACUGGCGAGCUAGAGUGCGGUAGAGGGUAGUGGAAUUCCCGGUGUAGCAGUGAAAUGCGUAGAGAUCGGGAGGAACAUCUGUGGCGAAGGCGGCGACCUGGGCCAAUACUGACACUGAGGUGCGAAAGCGUGGGGAGCAAACAGG